UGGGCGUAAGGGCUCGCAGGCGGUUUCUUAAGUCUGAUGUGAAAGCCCCCGGCUCAACCGGGGAGGGUCAUUGGAAACUGGGAAACUUGAGUGCAGAAGAGGAGAGUGGAAUUCCACGUGUAGCGGUGAAAUGCGUAGAGAUGUGGAGGAACACCAGUGGCGAAGGCGACUCUCUGGUCUGUAACUGACGCUGAGGAGCGAAAGCGUGGGGAGCGAACAGGAUUAGAUACCCUGGUAGUCCACGCCGUAAACGAUGAGUGCUAAGUGUUAGGGGGUUUCCGCCCCUUAGUGCUGCAGCUAACGCAUUAAGCACUCCGCCUGGGGAGUACGGUCGCAAGACUGAAACUCAAAGGAAUUGACGGGGGCCCGCACAAGCGGUGGAGCAUGUGGUUUAAUUCGAAGCAACGCGAAGAACCUUACCAGGUCUUGACAUCCUCUGACAACCCUAGAGAUAGGGCUUUCCCUUCGGGGACAGAGUGACAGGUGGUGCAUGGUUGUCGUCAGCUCGUGUCGUGAGAUGUUGGGUUAAGUCCCGCAACGAGCGCAACCCUUGAUCUUAGUUGCCAGCAUUCAGUUGGGCACUCUAAGGUGACUGCCGGUGACAAACCGGAGGAAGGUGGGGAUGACGUCAAAUCAUCAUGCCCCUUAUGACCUGGGCUACACACGUGCUACAAUGGAC
This 679-nucleotide ribosomal RNA is filed under the name Bacillus pumilus. Its description in RNAcentral is "bacterial SSU rRNA". It matches the Rfam family "Bacterial small subunit ribosomal RNA", at positions 555 to 1235 of the family's 1533-position model. The record is from RNAcentral. Lineage: Bacteria; Bacillati; Bacillota; Bacilli; Caryophanales; Bacillaceae.